GACGAACGCUGGCGGCGUGCUUAACACAUGCAAGUCGAACGGAAAGGCCCUGCUUGCGGGGUACUCGAGUGGCGAACGGGUGAGUAACACGCGGGUGAUCUGCCCUGCACUUCGGGAUAAGCCUGGGAAACUGGGUCUAAUACAGGAUAGGAGCCAUUUUUAGUGUGAUGGUUGGAAAGUUUUUUCGGUGUAGGAUGAGCUCGCGGCCUAUCUGCUUGUUGGUGGGGUAAUGGCCUACCAAGGCGGCGGCGGGUAGCCGGCCUGGGGGGGUGGACGGCCACAUUGGGACUGAGGUGAGGCCCAGGCUGCUACGGGAGGGAGCAGUGGGGAAUAUUGCACAAGGGGCGCAAGCCUGGUGCAGCGACGCCGCGUGGGGGAUGACAGGCUUCUGGUUGUAAACCCAUUUCGCUAGGGACGAAGCUUUUUGUGACGGUACCUAGUAAAGAAGCACCGGCUAACUACGUG
Molecule: ribosomal RNA, 465 nt
Filed under: uncultured bacterium
Lineage: Bacteria
Description: partial 16S ribosomal RNA
Rfam family: Bacterial small subunit ribosomal RNA
Source: RNAcentral